UACGUAGGGCGCAAGCGUUGUCCGGAAUUACUGGGCGUAAAGGGCUCGUAGGCGGCCAACUAAGUCAGACGUGAAAUCCCUCAGCUUAACUGGGGAACUGCGUCUGAUACUGGAUGGCUUGGAUUCGGGAGAGGAAUGCGGAAUUCCAGGUGUAGCGGUGAAAUGCGUAGAGAUGUGGAGGAACACCAGUGGCGAAGGCGGCUUUCUGGUCUGUAACUGACGCUGAGGCGCGAAAGCGUGGGGAGCAAACAGG
Molecule: ribosomal RNA, 253 nt
Filed under: uncultured bacterium
Lineage: Bacteria
Description: partial 16S ribosomal RNA
Rfam family: Bacterial small subunit ribosomal RNA
Source: RNAcentral